UCUUGGUCAUUAGAGGAAGUAAAAGUCGUAACAAGGUCUCCGUAGGUGAACCUGCGGAGGGAUCAUUACACAACAAAAAUAUGAGGGUGUGGUUUGCUGGCAACAGCGUCCGCCCCAAGUAUUUUUCACCCAUGUCUUUUGCGCACUUUUUGUUUCCUGGGCGAGUUCGCUCGCCACCAGGACCCAACCAUAAACCUUUUUUUAUGCAGUUGCAAUCAGCGUCAGUAUAAUAAUUCAAUUUAUUAAAACUUUCAACAACGGAUCUCUUGGUUCUGGCAUCGAUGAAGAACGCAGCGAAAUGCGAUACGUAGUGUGAAUUGCAGAAUUCAGUGAAUCAUCGAAUCUUUGAACGCACAUUGCGCCCUUUGGUAUUCCAAAGGGCAUGCCUGUUCGAGCGUCAUUUGUACCCUCAAGCUUUGCUUGGUGUUGGGCGUCUUUUUGUCUCUCCCCUUGUUGGGGGAGACUCGCCUUAAAACGAUUGGCAGCCGACCUACUGGUUUUCGGAGCGCAGCACAAAUUUGCGCCUUCCAAUCCACGGGGCGGCAUCCAGCAAGCCUUUGUUUUCUAUAACAAAUCCACAUUUUGACCUCGGAUCAGGUAGGGAUACCCGCUGAACUUAAGCAUAUCAAUAAGCGGAGGAA
RNAcentral lists this ribosomal RNA (641 nucleotides) under Exserohilum sp. P25E1. RNAcentral's name for it is "eukaryotic LSU rRNA". The stretch from base 247 to 400 matches the Rfam family "5.8S ribosomal RNA". The record is from RNAcentral. Lineage: Eukaryota; Fungi; Ascomycota; Dothideomycetes; Pleosporales; Pleosporaceae.